Molecule: long non-coding RNA, 864 nt
Filed under: Equus asinus (donkey)
Lineage: Eukaryota; Metazoa; Chordata; Mammalia; Perissodactyla; Equidae
Description: lncRNA (ENSEASG00005036696.1)
Source: RNAcentral
GCCAGCUCCAGCGGAGCCCGGCGACACGCCGAGCCCCAGCCCCAGGAUUCCGCGGACUGGAGCGCAGCGCCGGCAGCCGAGUGACUUUCACAAAGGACAUUUCAGCCAGAUCAAGGGAGCAGAUGGCGCUGCAUGAGGCCUCCUGCAGGAUGAGGAUGGGGGGAGGCCAGGCUUUCCUGUGAUUUGUUCCCGUACCUGCGUUGUACUCCUCAGGCCCCACCAGACCUGGAUCUGCUCCUUUAUGGCUGGUCUCUGAGAGACCCAACCCUUGUUCAUAUUUAUGAUUCAUAAGCUUAAAAGAAAUGCAAGUGGUAUGGGGGAUGUGGCAUUUCCAUGUUGUCUCCACCAUGAACUCCAAAUCUGAAAUGUGUAGGAAGAUCCACAUUUGGCCAGGCAAGAACAACACCAUAAGGAAUGCGAUGUGAAAAGAAGGUGGAGGUCAGGAAUGUGCUGAAUUAUUGGGCCAAUUCCAAUUGCGUUCUGGAAUCCACUCUGGUACCUCGAGGGCUCUUCACUUUCCAGACAUCUGUUGACAACCACCAUGGGCCAGCACUGCCACAGCGCUGAGGAUGGAGCGGACAGACAAGAAGCCUUAUUCCGUGGAGCUUGUGUUCUAGUGGAGUGCAUGCUCUGCAAAGGAAACCCAGAGGAGUAUCCUCUAGGAGCCAGAGUACUCUGUGGUGGGUGAAGAAGGCGCCAUAGUAUUAGCCAAAAAUUGCUGACUAUGAGAAAAAGUUAGGUAAUCCUGCGUGACACUGAGAUAAACCAUGAAAAGGAAAAAGUUCAAUUGUAUAUUUGAUAUCUGGAGGAUUUGGCCUAAUUCUUUAGUCUUUUAUCUUGUUGCUAACCAUCACCUGAAUACAG